Molecule: ribosomal RNA, 425 nt
Filed under: uncultured bacterium
Lineage: Bacteria
Description: partial 16S ribosomal RNA
Rfam family: Bacterial small subunit ribosomal RNA
Source: RNAcentral
GUGGGGAAUCUUGCGCAAUGGGCGAAAGCCUGACGCAGCCAUGCCGCGUGAAUGAUGAAGGUCUUAGGAUUGUAAAAUUCUUUCACCGGGGACGAUAAUGACGGUACCCGGAGAAGAAGCUCCGGCUAACUUCGUGCCAGCAGCCGCGGUAAUACGAAGGGGGCUAGCGUUGCUCGGAAUUACUGGGCGUAAAGGGCGCGUAGGCGGACAGCUUAGUCAGAGGUGAAAGCCCAGGGCUCAACCUUGGAAUUGCCUUUGAUACUGGCUGUCUUGAGUUUGGGAGAGGUGAGUGGAACUCCGAGUGUAGAGGUGGAAUUCGUAGAUAUUCGGAAGAACACCAGUGGCGAAGGCGACUCACUGGCCCAAUACUGACGCUGAGGCGCGAAAGCGUGGGGAGCAAACAGGAUUAGAAACCCUAGUAGUCC